Molecule: long non-coding RNA, 170 nt
Organism: Bufo bufo (common toad)
Lineage: Eukaryota; Metazoa; Chordata; Amphibia; Anura; Bufonidae
Exons: 3
Source: RefSeq, a predicted model, not a curated record
CCUCCAGACUCUGGGUCCUUGGUUUCCGAAUGAGAUGCAAAAGUAGCUCUCAUCAGAAAAGAGCACUUUGGACCACUGAGCAACAGACCAGUGCUGCUUCUCUGUAGCCCAGGUCAGGCACUUCUGCCGCUGUUUCUGGUUCAAAAGUGGCUUGACCUGGGGAAUGCGGC